RNAcentral lists this ribosomal RNA (253 nucleotides) under uncultured bacterium. Its description in RNAcentral is "partial 16S ribosomal RNA". It matches the Rfam family "Bacterial small subunit ribosomal RNA", at positions 524 to 776 of the family's 1533-position model. The record is from RNAcentral.
UACGUAGGGGGCAAGCGUUGUCCGGAAUCAUUGGGCGUAAAGAGCGUGUAGGCGGCCUGGUAAGUCCGCUGUGAAAGUCCAGGGCUCAACCCUGGAAUGCCGGUGGAAACUGUCAGGCUCGAGUCCGGAAGAGGCGAGUGGAAUUCCUGGUGUAGCGGUGAAAUGCGCAGAUAUCAGGAGGAACACCAAUGGCGAAGGCAGCACUCUGGGACGUGACUGACGCUGAGACGCGAAAGCGUGGGGAGCAAACAGG